RNAcentral lists this ribosomal RNA (464 nucleotides) under Enterococcus sp. oral taxon A43. RNAcentral describes it as "bacterial SSU rRNA". It matches the Rfam family "Bacterial small subunit ribosomal RNA", at positions 28 to 470 of the family's 1533-position model. The record is from RNAcentral. Lineage: Bacteria; Bacillati; Bacillota; Bacilli; Lactobacillales; Enterococcaceae.
GACGAACGCUGGCGGCGUGCCUAAUACAUGCAAGUCGAACGCUUCUUUUUCACCGAACUUCGGUUCAUCGAAAAAGAGGAGUGGCGAACGGGUGAGUAACACGUGGGUAACCUGCCCAUCAGAAGGGGAUAACACUUGGAAACAGGUGCUAAUACCGUAUAAUGCUUUUUCUCGCAUGAGAGCAAGCUGAAAGGCGCUUUUGCGUCACUGAUGGAUGGACCCGCGGUGCAUUAGCUAGUUGGUGAGGUAACGGCUCACCAAGGCCACGAUGCAUAGCCGACCUGAGAGGGUGAUCGGCCACACUGGGACUGAGGCACGGCCCAGACUCCUACGGGAGGCAGCAGUAGGGAAUCUUCGGCAAUGGACGAAAGUCUGACCGAGCAACGCCGCGUGAGUGAAGAAGGUUUUCGGAUCGUAAAACUCUGUUGUUAGAGAAGAACAAGGAUGAGAGUAAAAUGUUCAUC